Dunckerocampus dactyliophorus (ringed pipefish) is the source of this 529-nucleotide long non-coding RNA. RefSeq lists it as uncharacterized. The record is from RefSeq and is a predicted model, not a curated record. Lineage: Eukaryota; Metazoa; Chordata; Actinopteri; Syngnathiformes; Syngnathidae. The transcript has 3 exons.
CUGAUGACAAACUCCCUGAUGUCUUCAUUCAAUAUGAAGGGCCACGGUUCCAAAAGGGCAUUCCAACCGACAGAACUUUACGCUAUUGUGACAGCUGCUGUCAAAAGGUGGGACAGCAAAGCCACGUACAGACCAUGAAAUUUCACGUACUAUGGCAGACCAUUUCAAACAUGCUCCUGGGUGGUCUGGUGGUGGAGACUAUCUUAAAAAAUAAAACAGGGCAGCAUUGACGAGGAAACAUCAGGGAGGAACUUCGAUUGAGUUCAUCGGUCCACACUCGUUUAGGCCCUGAUCAGUUGUGAUAUAAGAUGGAAACAUUUCACUUAAUGUACAGUAUUAUCUACAGUCAUGACUGUAUUGAAGUCCAUUUUUUUGUUUUACAUCCUUUAUAUCAUGUGGGUCACCUUUAGUUGUUACUAUCCUCUGUUGUACUUUUUUCCAUUUUGGUUUUGGAAUAAUCAUCUUUCCAAACCACACGUCGUCUACCGCAUCUUGGGAUCCAACCCGCAGCACGCUCCGUUCCUUAACA